AGAAUGAACGUUGGCGGCGUGGAUUAGGCAUGCAAGUCGGACGGGCCGCAAGGCCAGUGGCGGAAGGGUGAGUAAGGCGAAGGUAACCAACCCCAGGGGUGGGCAUAGCUGGGGGAAACUCCGGGUAAUUCCCAGCGACGUGAUUUGUUGGCAUCAACGGAUCACCAAAGAUUUAUCGCCCUGGGACGGGCCUUCGUGGUAUUAGGUAGUUGGCGGGGUGACGGCCCACCAAGCCUGCGAUGCCUACCGGGCGUGCGAGCGUGGCCCGGCACACUGGGACUGAGACACUGCCCAGACUCCUACGGGAGGCUGCAGUCGAGAAUCUUCGGCAAUGGGCGCAAGCCUGACCGAGCGACGCCGCGUGGAGGACGAAGGCCUUCGGGUUGUAAACUCCUGUCGAGGGGGAGGAAGGGGCAACCUUGACCGAUCCCUGGAGGAAGCGACGGGCUAAGUUCGCGCCAGCAGCCGC
Molecule: ribosomal RNA, 469 nt
Filed under: uncultured bacterium
Lineage: Bacteria
Description: SSU rRNA
Rfam family: Bacterial small subunit ribosomal RNA
Source: RNAcentral